AUUAGUAUAUAAAUUAUAAAUAAAUAAAAGUUAUUUUGAUAUUUUUCAUCACAAAUUGUUUCAUCUUCUAAUGAACUUCUGUGUUGUGGUGAAGUCUUUAGGACUAUUUAGACUCGACAAAGGAGGAUUUAUCGUUUAGUCCUUAAACCUGUUUGCGACCAAAUGAUACAUUGUUACCAAGGACAACAACGUUUAUCAAGCAUAGGUUGUUGUGUGCCAUAUGGGUUGGUUGUCCUCUUAACCAAGGAGUGUGGAGACACUGAUAUGGCA
Molecule: long non-coding RNA, 270 nt
Filed under: Elaeis guineensis (African oil palm)
Lineage: Eukaryota; Viridiplantae; Streptophyta; Magnoliopsida; Arecales; Arecaceae
Description: long non-coding RNA (EGUI_LNC035684)
Source: RNAcentral